GACCGCGUAGCUCAGUUGGCAGAGCAUUGGGCUAGUUUUCCAAAGGUCGUAGGUUCGAUUCCCACCGUGGUCA
This 73-nucleotide transfer RNA is filed under the name Paramuricea clavata. It matches the Rfam family "tRNA". Rfam says of the family: Transfer RNA (tRNA) molecules are approximately 80 nucleotides in length. Their secondary structure includes four short double-helical elements and three loops (D, anti-codon, and T loops). Lineage: Eukaryota; Metazoa; Cnidaria; Anthozoa; Malacalcyonacea; Plexauridae. The record is from Rfam by way of RNAcentral.